Molecule: long non-coding RNA, 434 nt
Organism: Salarias fasciatus (jewelled blenny)
Lineage: Eukaryota; Metazoa; Chordata; Actinopteri; Blenniiformes; Blenniidae
Exons: 3
Source: RefSeq, a predicted model, not a curated record
GUGGCCUUGUGUAAAAAGGAUCCGACGCUGCCUGAGCAAACAGGAAGAAGCGCUGCCCUGUCUUUAUUCCAUUUGCCCCCCAGAGUCUGCAGACCUUCCAGUUAAAGGCACAGAGACCACAGACACACCUUCACAAACCACCAACAGUUAAGCUCCCAGACCUCAUUACUGUUUUUCAGAUGGAGACUUUAUGUAACAGCAGGCCGGAGGGAGAAUAUGUGGAAUCAUGACGUCUGCAUGUCUGUUAUGUGAAGAUUCCCACAUGGUCAGCUGAUUGUUUGCACAACUCGAAGAUUGUGCAAAACAUUUUGGUUCCUAUAUUAAUUUUAAAGCCACAGUGACAGUCACGGACACUGAGGGUGGAGAACAUAAGUGAGGAGGGGUCAAGUUUAAUGUCUGAAGUGAAAAAAAAUGAAAAUCUUUCCACGAUAUUG